UGAGUAAAGUCUGGGAAACUGCCUGAUGGAGGGGGAUAACUACUGGAAACGGUAGCUAAUACCGCAUAAUGUCUUCGGACCAAAGUGGGGGACCUUAGGGCCUCACGCCAUCGGAUGUGCCCAGAUGGGAUUAGCUGGUAGGUGGGGUAAAGGCUCACCUAGGCAACGAUCCCUAGCUGGUCUGAGAGGAUGACCAGCCACACUGGAACUGAGACACGGUCCACACUAAAACGGGAGGCAGCAGUGGGGAAUAUUGCACAAUGGGGGAAACCCUGAUGCAGCCAUGCCGCGUGUGUGAAGAAGGCCUUAGGGUUGUAAAGCACUUUCAGCGGGGAGGAAGGCAAUGAGCUUAAUAAGCUUGUUGAUUGACGUUACCCGCAGAAGAAGCACCGGCUAACUCCGUGCCAGCAGCCGCGGUAAUACGGAGGGUGCAAGCGUUAAUCGGAAUGACUGGGCGUAAAGGGCACGCAGGCGGUUUGUUAAGUCAGAUGUGAAAUCCCCGGGCUUAACCUGGGAACUGCAUUUGAAACUGGCAAGCUGGAGUCUUGUAUAGGGGGGUAGAAUUCCAGGGGUAGCGGUGAAAAGCCUAGAGAUCUGGAGGAAUACCGGUGGCGAAAGCAUCCCCCCCUGGACAAAGACAGACGCUCAGGUUCGUAAAACUUGCGGAGCGAAACUUGAUUAGAUACCCCGGGUAGUCCACCCCUGUGGGCGGAUGUCCCACUUCAAAGGGUUGUGGCCCCUAGAAUACUAGGGC
RNAcentral lists this ribosomal RNA (754 nucleotides) under Brenneria alni. Its description in RNAcentral is "bacterial SSU rRNA". It matches the Rfam family "Bacterial small subunit ribosomal RNA". The record is from RNAcentral. Lineage: Bacteria; Pseudomonadati; Pseudomonadota; Gammaproteobacteria; Enterobacterales; Pectobacteriaceae.